GUCCUGUCUGUGAUGUCUCUUUCUCCGUUCUCACGUCCGAAAUGACUGAACAAACGUGUACGAACCUUCUGAUUUCUUGCGUGGUGCACCGUACGUGAUCGCGGACGCGUCGCGUCUGACGAGGGUCAGACGAGUUUCCGUCGGCUAUGCGGCAGAUCUGCCCCCUCUGGUUUUUCCAUGCGCUUUACGUCCACUCACCGUUCACCACCGUACCCCACCAGUACUGGAACCAAUUUUUCUUAUCAAGACUACAAAUUGUAGUUCGGCAAGUAGUGAAGACCACUUAUAAUCAUACACAGCCUGCAGUAGUAUAUAGACAAUAUAAUCAGACAUUGAAG
Molecule: unclassified non-coding RNA, 338 nt
Filed under: Bombus terrestris (buff-tailed bumblebee)
Lineage: Eukaryota; Metazoa; Arthropoda; Insecta; Hymenoptera; Apidae
Description: misc RNA ENSBTSG00005021982.1
Source: RNAcentral